GGCGACGCUGCCGCGGCGGCUCGGGGCGGCCGGGUUCGCACGGCCGGAGACCGAGCUGGGUGCGCGGUCGUUCCGGUUCCGGGCCGGCCGCGGCUA
Molecule: transfer RNA, 96 nt
Filed under: Pseudonocardia autotrophica
Lineage: Bacteria; Bacillati; Actinomycetota; Actinomycetes; Pseudonocardiales; Pseudonocardiaceae
Description: tRNA-OTHER
Source: RNAcentral